UCAUAUGCUUGUCUCAAAGCUUAAGCCAUGCAAGUGUAAGUUCACGCCACGCAUUAGAACGGGCGAAACCGCGAAUGGCUCAGGAACCGGACCUAAUCCUCGGGACCGUCAUCCUCCUCGGAGGCGAUGGAUAACUGUGGCAAUUCUAGAGCUAAUACAUGUGACACAAGCCGCGAUCGGUCGGCGCGCGUGCCCGCUCGUCGGUAGCACGUCCCGCGUCGUCCGCCUCGGGUCGCGGCGCUACAUAUUAGACUGAGACCGAUGCGCGUCAUUCCGUCCUCCCGUCGACGAUCGGGUUCACGCUCGUUCGUUCGGUCGGGGCCAAAGGGCGGCGCGCUCCGCUUUGGUGACUCUGGAUAACUCACUGGUCGAUCGCACGGGCUUCCACGCCCGGCGACGGGUCUCUCGAGGGUCCGCCCUAUCAACUGUCGACGGUCGGUUAAGUGCCUACCGUGGUUACUACGGGUAACGGGGAAUCGGGGUUCGAUUCCGGAGAGGGAGCAUGCGAAACGGCUACCACAUCCAAGGAAGGCAGCAGGCGCGCAAAUUACCCACUCCCGGCACGGGGAGGUAGUGACGAAAAAUAACGACGCGGGACUCUGUCGAGGCCCCGCGAUCGGAAUGAGUACACUUCAAAUCCGUUAACGAGGACCAACCGGAGGGCAAGUCUGGUGCCAGCAGCCGCGGUAAUUCCAGCUCCGGUAGCGUAUAUUAAAGUUGUUGCGGUUAAAAAGCUCGUAGUCCGAACUCGGGUUCGUGGUCGCUCGUGCGGCCCCGGGGCGGCGGCGCCAUCGUCCGUUGUUGACUUUGGUCGUCCGUACGCAUUCCCGGCCCUUUCCGCCGGUGUCAACCGCUACGCAUAUCCGCCUCGCGGUCCUGCCUGCGGAAACGGCUCGCGUCYCCGCGCGCGUUCCUUCACGGGUUCGUCGUGGGCGUCGCGCUGCACGUCCGUGCUCGGCGCGCUUGUUGCGGGUCGGCGGUUUCUCCUCCAAGGGUGCUCUUAACCGAGUGUCCGCGGCGGCCGGUACGUUCACUUUGAAAAAAUUAGAGUGCUCAGAGCGGGCUGUUCAAGCUUGCAUACGAUAAGCAUGGAAUGAUGGAAGAGGGCCUCGUCUACGUCUGUCGGUCUCCGUCUACGGCGAGGCAAUGAUCGAAGGGAGCGGUCGGGGCCACUCGUAUUGCGACGUUAGAGGUGAAAUUCUUGGAUCGUCGCAAGACGAACUGCAGCGAUGGCGUGUGGCAAGCACGUUUUCCUCGAUCAAGAGCGAAAGUCGGAGGUUCGAAGACGAUCAGAUACCGUCGUAGUUCCGACCGUAAACGAUGCCGACCGGCGAUCCGCCGGCGUUCGCUUCCAUGACCCGGCGGGUAGCCUGCGGGAAACCAGAGUUCGGUUCCGGGGGGAGUAUGGUUGCAAAGCUGAAACUUAAAGGAAUUGACGGAAGGGCACCACCAGGAGUGGAGCCUGCGGCUUAAUUUGACUCAACACGGGAAAACUCACCCGGUCCGGACACCGGUAGGAUUGACAGAUCGAUAGCUCUUUCUCGAUUCGGUGGGUGGUGGUGCAUGGCCGUUCUUAGUUGGUGGAGCGAUCCGUCUGGUUGAUUCCGAUAACGAACGAGACUCCGGCCUGCUAACUAGUGCGCCGAUGUGUGUCUUUUACGGCGGGCUCGUGUGCGCGUGCGGUUCGGCGGCGGUUCCGUGCGGGGUGCGAGGUGGCGUGCGUGUCGUCCUCAAACCUUCGUUUCGGCUGGCUUCUUGUCGGUCGUGAGCGGGGGUGCGAGCCGGCUCGCGCGUUUGCUUUCGCCUUCGUAACACGCCGUCGUCGGCCGUCGUUACUGCGCGGGUCCGGGUCGGUUUUCUCACRCACUUCUUAGAGGGACGGGUGGCAGAAAGCCACACGAGGCGGAGCAAUAACAGGUCUGUGAUGCCCUUAGAUGUCCGGGGCCGCACGCGCGCUACACUGGAGGUAUCAGCGGGGACUUCGCCCCGGCCCGAGAGGGUCGGGAAACCUCUCAACCACCUCCCGUGAUAGGGAUCGGGGCCUGUAACCAACCCCGUGAACGAGGAAUUCCCGGUAGGCGCGGGUCAACAGCCCGCGUCGAUCACGUCCCUGCCCUUUGUACACACCGCCCGUCGCUACUACCGAUCGAACGGUCCGGUGAGGUCCUCGGAUCUGGCCGACGACGCCGCCGGGCUUGUGGCGUGUUCGGCCUUCGGGUCGUCGCGUCACGUUUGCCUCGGCGUUCGAUGCCUGGAGAAGACGACCGAACCCGAUCGUUUAGAGGAAGUAAAAGUCGUAACAAGGUUUCC
Molecule: ribosomal RNA, 2310 nt
Filed under: Idiosepius pygmaeus
Lineage: Eukaryota; Metazoa; Mollusca; Cephalopoda; Idiosepiidae
Description: bacterial SSU rRNA
Rfam family: Eukaryotic small subunit ribosomal RNA
Source: RNAcentral